Molecule: long non-coding RNA, 2882 nt
Filed under: Homo sapiens (human)
Lineage: Eukaryota; Metazoa; Chordata; Mammalia; Primates; Hominidae
Description: HSALNT0215036
Source: RNAcentral
GACAUCUUCUUGCCUACUCUGCAGGAGGCUGGAGCCAUGUCUGAGCAGGCCAGACAACACAUCUACAGGGUGCAGAUGACCUAUGGGCAGCCACACUGUGAUGCCUGUGUGAGGGCCUAAACUUCAGGGAGGAAGAAAGUGAGGUCAGAUCCUGAGGGAGCACUUGCUCUCCUGCAGCAGGCAUGGGGGAGCACCUGACUGCUGAGGAUGGCUUCGGAACAUUUGUGUGAAGAGGGAUAACAGAUGCUGCAUGCCAGAGGGAUGGUGGCCAUAGGCCGCAAGAUUCGGUUCUUCUGGCCGCAGAAGACCCUGACUUCACCUUUCAGGCCUCUGUUUCCUUAUCAACGAAAUAAGAGCAUGUGAUUAAUUCUGCAGGUGCUUCCAGCUUGGACUUUUUUGCAAAUAUUUUCAUUCAACUCACUUUAGAAACCUGCAGGGAGUCUCUCUUUGCAAUUCCAGAAAAAUCAGCAUUUUUGUCAAAGACAUUUUGGAUGCCCAUCUUCGGGAGGAUGGUUUCCAGAUUGUAGGAGGCAGAAAUGGAAAAUCUGGGGAUGAACACCUCUAUCCACCUGUGGAGUAGGGAAAAGGAAACAAUGAGGUCACAAGCCCAUGGUGUCUGCAUCUCUGCUCCUAGAUGCCAUUUUGGGAGACUCCGUUCUUCCUCCAACCACUGCUAAUUUCUGCUAAAAAGGUCAACACAUCCUAGCCAAGAAACCCAGGUUGCUCUUGAAAUAAGCCUCCCAGCUGAGCAGGUCCAGCACUAAAAACAUGCAAGGAGAUAGACGAGCCCCCAGUGAAGUGGGUGCAGAGGUGAAAAAGCAGUCAGCAAGGGAGUCUAUGGCAGAAACCAACAGGAGACGUCCAGUAGCAAUGGAAGCUCAUCAACCACCCACUCACUGUCCGGAAUACCUCCUCAGCAGCACUUCCUGAUGCAAGCCCUGCUAAUAAUGCCCUAGAGCAGCAAAGUCCAGCAGAACUUCCUGUGAUGCUGGGAAGAUCCUAGACCUGCACUCUCCAGUACGGUAGCCAUUAGCCAUGUGUGGCUACUGAGCAACUUAAACAGUGGCUUGUGCAAAUGAGAAACUAAAAUGUUAAUUUUACUACAUUUCAGUUAACUUAAGUGUAAAUUACUGCAGGUGGCUUAGCGGCUACUAUAUUGAACAGCACCACCUGAUAAUUUAGCACAAUAUUUUUUUUCCUCUGCAAUGGUUUCCCUGAACCAAGAGUAAACAGCCCACAUGUGUUGAACUUCUUUUUUUUAAGAUGGAGUCUCACUCUGUCGCUCAGGCUGGAGUGCAAUGGCACAGUCUCUGCUCACUGCAACCUCCACCCCGUGGGUUCAAGUGUUUCUCCUGCCUCAGCCUCCCAAGUAGCUGGGAUUACAGGUGUACGUGGCCAUGCCCGGCUAAUUUUUUUGUAUUUUAGUAGAGACAGGGUUUCACCGUGUUGCCCAGGCUGGUCUUGAACUCCUGAGCUCAGGCAAUCCACCCGCCUCGGCUUCCCAAAGUGCUAGGAUUACAGGCGUGAGUCCAGCCUGAACAUUUAUUAUAUGCCAGACAUUGUCCCAGGCACAUUCAACAACACUUCCCCCUUUUAAAGACGGUAAAGCUUACUUUUAGUGCUUUGCCCAAGGUUAUGUACUUAGUGACUCACAGCAACGAAAGCACAAAAAUAUUGGAUGGACACAUUUCAGUCCUCAUCUGACAGGUGUCUUGUGACCCCUCAUGCCAGGGACAGCUCUCUUUUCCCUGCCACUGUCCUCUUUCCCUGUUUUCUCUGUGCUCCAUCUGCUGCUCUGUACUCUGUCCCUCCCUCCCUGAAAUUCUGUGCCACCUCCUCUUCCUAUCCCCAGCCCCAGAUGCAGCCUGAGAAGAGAAGAAAUCGCUGACACACCCUGCAGCAUCUCUUCAUCCUUAACUUUGAGUUUUUGCCAGUGCUGUGUCCUCUACCAAAGCUGCCCUUGCCAAGCCUCUGUGUGCUCAUAUGCUACCCACAUGUGCAGCUAAACCCCACCGCCUCCUUGAAGCUGUCCCUCAGUCCCAGCUGAAAGUGAUCUCUCUCUGCUCAGAAACUCCUCAGCACCUUUCCUGCCCUCCCGUGGGGCAUUGCCCAAUCUCUUUCUUGAAUUCCAGUUACACUGCAGCCUUCCUUCUCUCUUCCCAGACUAUGAGCACCAGGGAACGCUGCUAAAAUCAUUCUAAGAUGCCAAAAAUAUAUUGCUAAGAGACAGAACAUAAAACGUGGACAUUCCUUUUUUAUCUCAUGAUUAAUCUUUUUGCUAUUCUCCAUAUUUUUUGUACUCACCAUACUAAUUACAGAACUAAUAAUAACAUUAUUAGCUAGCAUUUACUGAACACUUACUAUCUUCUAGGAAUUCUUCUAAGCACUUUGUAAGUAGCAGGUUACUUUACCUUUUCACCAACCUUUGGAUUUGGUAAUAUUGUUAUCCUCUUUCUUAUAUGUGACCACCAAUGCUUUUGUUUGCUAGCUUUUAUGGGAUCAUUCCAUAGAUUUCAAUAUCAGAUAGGCUUCUAGAGCCAGCUCUGCAAGCAUAUAACAGCUACAUGACCUUGGGCAAUUCACUUACCCCUUGGAGCCUCCAUUUCCUCAUCUGUGUAAUGAGUGGUACUAAGACUCCUCAUCAGGUGAUAGUGAACUUCAAGUGUGAACAUGUAUAGACAGCCCCAGGCUCUCUGUCCUGCAUGCAGUUGGUGCUCACUGUGCAGAAGUGAUUAUCCAACAGCUGUUAGCACAAUCUCUCCCUCAUCUUUGAAUGUGUGCAUCCCCUGCCUCAGGGCCCAGGAGAUUGACACAGAUGCCCACCUUUUCUGGAGUGAGUGGCUCCACUUUCUCAGUGUUCUGGCUGACAAGGCCUGUUCCAG